RNAcentral lists this transfer RNA (72 nucleotides) under Cytophagaceae bacterium. Its description in RNAcentral is "tRNA-Glu". It matches the Rfam family "tRNA". Rfam says of the family: Transfer RNA (tRNA) molecules are approximately 80 nucleotides in length. Their secondary structure includes four short double-helical elements and three loops (D, anti-codon, and T loops). The record is from RNAcentral. Lineage: Bacteria; Pseudomonadati; Bacteroidota; Cytophagia; Cytophagales; Cytophagaceae.
GGCCCGUUCGGCUAUCGGUUAGGCCGUAUCCCUUUCACGGAUAAGAGAGGGGUUCGACUCCCCUACGGGCUA